CUCAGGGAGAGGUGAGCGCUCGCGG
RNAcentral lists this non-coding RNA (25 nucleotides) under Cricetulus griseus (Chinese hamster). Lineage: Eukaryota; Metazoa; Chordata; Mammalia; Rodentia; Cricetidae. The record is from RNAcentral.